This 508-nucleotide ribosomal RNA is filed under the name uncultured bacterium. RNAcentral describes it as "partial 16S ribosomal RNA". It matches the Rfam family "Bacterial small subunit ribosomal RNA", at positions 28 to 507 of the family's 1533-position model. The record is from RNAcentral.
GACGAACGCUGGCGGCGUGCCUAAUACAUGCAAGUCGAACGCUUCUUUCCUCCCGAGUGCUUGCACUCAAUUGGAAAGAGGAGUGGCGGACGGGUGAGUAACACGUGGGUAACCUACCCAUCAGAGGGGGAUAACACUUGGAAACAGGUGCUAAUACCGCAUAACAGUUUAUGCCGCAUGGCAUAAGAGUGAAAGGCGCUUUCGGGUGUCGCUGACGGAUGGAUCCGCGGUGCAUUAGCUAGUUGGUGAGGUAACGGCUCACCAAGGCCACGAUGCAUAGCCGACCUGAGAGGGUGAUCGGCCACACUGGGACUGAGACACGGCCCAGACUCCUGCGGGAGGCAGCAGUAGGGAAUCUUCGGCAAUGGACGAAAGUCUGACCGAGCAACGCCGCGUGAGUGAAGAAGGUUUUCGGAUCGUAAAACUCUGUUGUUAGAGAAGAACAAGGACGUUAGUAACUGAACGUCCCCUGACGGUAUCUAACCAGAAAGCCACGGCUAACUACGUG